UUUUUAAAGCUUCAUAUCAUCCACCAUUCCACCUCGCCAGCAGUCACCCACCAUUUAUCCCACUCCUACCCACAAUCCCCUCUGAGGAACUGCCAGAGACAGAGGAGCCGCCACGCAGGUCAGCCGGGCCACCAUUACACACCGACUGUUUUAUCUGCUUCAAACAGUCGGUAAUGGAGAAAGACAAAACCGAGUCAGCGGAGAACCCGCGUGUGAAGUAAUUUUUCCGUUUUCUGUGACCCCCUGUGGUGCCGUUCUAUUUGUCACAUGGAUGCACGUUUCUCAGGACGGGAGCAGUUCCUGUUUGUGUCAGACGAAGUCAGUGAGGCCUGGUGUCAACAACGCUCCGGUUCUUCACACACCUGCCAGAGAUCCAGCAUCACACCUCGCAGCCUCAGAGUCGGCUUGUGACCCAGAGUCCUGUCUCCUGGCACAUCUCUCAUGUUGAUUGGUGGCCCUGUGGUUGCACGUUGAUCCAUUGUGAUGUCAUAUGUCUGUGCUGCUCCUGGUUCCUAUGGCGAUGCGCAGCAGAGGGAAAGCU
Molecule: long non-coding RNA, 541 nt
Organism: Rhinichthys klamathensis goyatoka
Lineage: Eukaryota; Metazoa; Chordata; Actinopteri; Cypriniformes; Leuciscidae
Exons: 3
Source: RefSeq, a predicted model, not a curated record